GACGAACGCUGGCGGCGUGCUUAACACAUGCAAGUCGAACGGAAAGGCCCUGCUUUUGUGGGGUGCUCGAGUGGCGAACGGGUGAGUAACACGUGAGUAACCUGCCCUUGACUUUGGGAUAACUUCAGGAAACUGGGGCUAAUACCGGAUAGGAGCUCCUGCUGCAUGGUGGGGGUUGGAAAGUUUCGGCGGUUGGGGAUGGACUCGCGGCUUAUCAGCUUGUUGGUGGGGUAGUGGCUUACCAAGGCUUUGACGGGUAGCCGGCCUGAGAGGGUGACCGGCCACAUUGGGACUGAGAUACGGCCCAGACUCCUACGGGCGGCAGCAGUGGGGAAUAUUGCACAAUGGGCGGAAGCCUGAUGCAGCAACGCCGCGUGCGGGAUGACUGCCUUCGGGUUGUAAACCGCUUUCGCCUGUGACGAAGCGUGAGUGACGGUAAUGGGUAAAGAAGCACCGGCUAACUACGUG
Molecule: ribosomal RNA, 468 nt
Filed under: uncultured bacterium
Lineage: Bacteria
Description: partial 16S ribosomal RNA
Rfam family: Bacterial small subunit ribosomal RNA
Source: RNAcentral